CAAAGGAAUUGACGGGGACCCGCACAAGCGGCGGAGCAUGCGGAUUAAUUCGAUGCAACGCGAAGAACCUUACCAAGGCUUGACAUACACCAGAACGGGCCAGAAAUGGUCAACUCUUUGGACACUGGUGAACAGGUGGUGCAUGGUUGUCGUCAGCUCGUGUCGUGAGAUGUUGGGUUAAGUCCCGCAACGAGCGCAACCCUCGUUCUAUGUUGCCAGCACGUAAUGGUGGGAACUCAUGGGAUACUGCCGGGGUCAACUCGGAGGAAGGUGGGGAUGACGUCAAAUCAUCAUGCCCCUUAUGUCUUGGGCUUCACGCAUGCUACAAUGGCCGGUACAAAGGGCUGCAAUACCGUGAGGUGGAGCGAAUCCCAAAAAGCCGGUCCCAGUUCGGAUUGAGGUCUGCAACUCGACCUCAUGAAGUCGGAGUCGCUAGUAAUCGCAGAUCAGCAACGCUGCGGUGAAUACGUUCCCGGGUCUUGUACACACCGCCCGUCAAGUCAUGAAAGUCGGUAACACCUGAAGCCGGUGGCCCAACCCUUGUGGAGGGAGCCGUCGAAGGUGGGAUCGGUAAUUAG
Molecule: ribosomal RNA, 578 nt
Filed under: Microbacterium testaceum
Lineage: Bacteria; Bacillati; Actinomycetota; Actinomycetes; Micrococcales; Microbacteriaceae
Description: bacterial SSU rRNA
Rfam family: Bacterial small subunit ribosomal RNA
Source: RNAcentral